This 760-nucleotide ribosomal RNA is filed under the name Nocardiopsis sp. MAD08. RNAcentral's name for it is "bacterial SSU rRNA". It matches the Rfam family "Bacterial small subunit ribosomal RNA", at positions 708 to 1533 of the family's 1533-position model. The record is from RNAcentral. Lineage: Bacteria; Bacillati; Actinomycetota; Actinomycetes; Streptosporangiales; Nocardiopsidaceae.
UGGGCCGAAAGGGGGGGGUCUNCUGGGUACCGCUGAGGGNGCGGAAAANCUUUNGAUUACCAGUUNCAUGCCUUUGGGCCGCUUAGGUGUGGGGACUUUUUCACCGGUUUCCGCCGCCGUAGCUAAACGCAUUAAGCGCCCCCNCCUGGGGAGUACGGCCCGCAAGGCUAAAACUCAAAGGACGGGGGGCCCGCACAACGGCGGAGCAUUUGCUUAAUUCGACGCAACGCGAAGAACCUUACCAAGGUUUGACAUCACCCGUGGACUCGCAGAGAUGUGAGGUCAUUUAGUUGGCGGGUGACAGGUGGUGCAUGGCUGUCGUCAGCUCGUGUCGUGAGAUGUUGGGUUAAGUCCCGCAACGAGCGCAACCCUUGUUCCAUGUUGCCAGCACGUAAUGGUGGGGACUCAUGGGAGACUGCCGGGGUCAACUCGGAGGAAGGUGGGGAUGACGUCAAGUCAUCAUGCCCCUUAUGUCUUGGGCUGCAAACAUGCUACAAUGGCCGGUACAAUGGGCGUGCGAUACCGUAAGGUGGAGCGAAUCCCUAAAAGCCGGUCUCAGUUCGGAUUGGGGUCUGCAACUCGACCCCAUGAAGGUGGAGUCGCUAGUAAUCGCGGAUCAGCAACGCCGCGGUGAAUACGUUCCCGGGCCUUGUACACACCGCCCGUCACGUCAUGAAAGUCNNCAACACCCGAAACUUUCUAACCCCUGGGACGCCAUUCUGAAGGNUCACCCCCUUGACAGGGGGGAAGANCUCUUUCC